RNAcentral lists this ribosomal RNA (450 nucleotides) under uncultured bacterium. RNAcentral's name for it is "bacterial SSU rRNA". It matches the Rfam family "Bacterial small subunit ribosomal RNA", at positions 335 to 799 of the family's 1533-position model. The record is from RNAcentral.
ACUCCUACGGGAGGCAGCAGUGGGGAAUCUUGGACAAUGGGGGCAACCCUGAUCCAGCCAUGCCGCGUGAGUGAUGAAGGCCUUAGGGUCGUAAAGCUCUUUCGCCAGGGAUGAUAAUGACAGUACCUGGUAAAGAAACCCCGGCUAACUCCGUGCCAGCAGCCGCGGUAAUACGGAGGGGGUUAGCGUUGUUCGGAAUUACUGGGGCGUAAAGCGCGCGUAGGCGGACCAGAAAGUUGGGGGUGAAAUCCCCGGGGCUCAACCCCGGAACUGCCUCCAAAACUCCUGGUCUUGAGUUCGAGAGAGGUGAGUGGAAUUCCGAGUGUAGAGGUGAAAUUCGUAGAUAUUCGGAGGAACACCAGUGGCGAAGGCGGCUCACUGGCUCGAUACUGACGCUGAGGUGCGAAAGUGUGGGGAGCAAACAGGAUUAGAUACCCUGGUAGGAUAGCG